Molecule: unclassified non-coding RNA, 453 nt
Filed under: uncultured Stephanosporaceae
Lineage: Eukaryota; Fungi; Basidiomycota; Agaricomycetes; Agaricales; Stephanosporaceae
Description: sequence contains ITS2
Rfam family: 5.8S ribosomal RNA (bases 1-154)
Source: RNAcentral
AACUUUCAGCAACGGAUCUCUUGGCUCUCGCAUCGAUGAAGAAAGCAGCGAAAUGCGAUAAGUAAUGUGAAUUGCAGAUUUCAGUGAAUCAUCGAAUCUUUGAACGCACCUUGCACCCUGCGGUAUUCCACAGGGUAUGCCCGUUUGAGCAUCAUUAAAUUAUCAACUCCAAGACCUUUGUGUUCUUGGUGCUUGGUCUUGAGGGUUAUUGUGGGCUCUUUACGAGUCGACUCCCUUUAAAUCCAUUAGCGAGACUUCCCUGUGCUGGAACUUGUGUCUUGACGUGAUAGUCUAUCUGCGUCAAAUCUUUACAGUUCUCAUUGGGCUUGCUUCUAAUCGUCCCGUUUGGACAAUCGGAAUCGAGUGCAUGAAUGCACCCUUUUCCAAACCUAUUUUGAUCUCAAAUCGGGUAGGACUACCCGCUGAACUUAAGCAUAUCAAUAAGCGGAGGCU